Paramisgurnus dabryanus is the source of this 335-nucleotide non-coding RNA. The record is from RefSeq and is a predicted model, not a curated record. Lineage: Eukaryota; Metazoa; Chordata; Actinopteri; Cypriniformes; Cobitidae.
GCUUGCAACUACACCUACUAUUUCACCUACUAUAUCAAGGGAGCAGCAGCAGCAAAGGAUAUCUCUGGAGCAAGUAGCCACAUUUAACGUAAGAGACAUCCUUCUUGCAACACCCAAUGGCAGAGGUAUUGUAGAUACUAUUAAAACCAAGAACUGCAUUUCACUUAAUGAGAGACAAGCCAUGGUUCGGAUCUUGGUGUCACAUCUUAUUGAACGCUUUGGAGAAAACCCAAGUGCAAGUACAAAAGUUACCCUGGCUUCAUCAGUAGUUGAACAAUUUCCAUGCCUUAAGGAUUGCCAGGGCAAAGGCUAUGUGAGUACAGUGUCUAACACAG